AUACAGAGGGUGCGAGCGUUAAUCGGAAUUACUGGGCGUAAAGGGCGCGUAGGUGGAUGUUUAAGUUGGAUGUGAAAGCCCCGGGCUCAACCUGGGAUGGUCAUUCAAAACUGGGCAUCUAGAGUGCAGUAGAGGGUGGCGGAAUUUCCGGUGUAGCGGUGAAAUGCGUAGAUAUCGGAAGGAACAUCAGUGGCGAAGGCGGCCACCUGGGCUGUAACUGACACUGAGGCGCGAAAGCGUGGGGAGCAAACAGGAUUAGAAACCCCGGUAGUCC
Molecule: ribosomal RNA, 274 nt
Filed under: uncultured bacterium
Lineage: Bacteria
Description: partial 16S ribosomal RNA
Rfam family: Bacterial small subunit ribosomal RNA
Source: RNAcentral